RNAcentral lists this ribosomal RNA (400 nucleotides) under uncultured bacterium. RNAcentral's name for it is "bacterial SSU rRNA". It matches the Rfam family "Bacterial small subunit ribosomal RNA", at positions 356 to 773 of the family's 1533-position model. The record is from RNAcentral.
GGGGAAUCUUGCACAAUGGGGGAAACCCUGAUGCAGCGACGCCGCGUGAGUGAUGAAGCCCUUCGGGGUGUAAAGCUCUUUCGACGGGGACGAUUAUGACGGUACCCGGAGAAGAAGCUGCGGCUAACUACGUGCCAGCAGCCGCGGUAAUACGUAGGCAGCAAGCGUUGUUCGGAAUUACUGGGCGUAAAGGGUGCGUAGGCGGUUUGGCCAGUCUGGUGUGAAAUCUCCCGGCUUAACUGGGAGGGUGCGCCGGAUACUGCCAAGCUAGAGUGUGGGAGAGGAAAGUGGAAUUCCUGGUGUAGCGGUGAAAUGCGUAGAUAUCAGGAGGAACACCUGCGGUGUAGACGGCUUUCUGGACCACUACUGACGCUGAUGCACGAAAGCGUGGGGAGCAAAC